RNAcentral lists this ribosomal RNA (465 nucleotides) under Vreelandella stevensii. Its description in RNAcentral is "partial 16S ribosomal RNA". It matches the Rfam family "Bacterial small subunit ribosomal RNA", at positions 338 to 795 of the family's 1533-position model. The record is from RNAcentral. Lineage: Bacteria; Pseudomonadati; Pseudomonadota; Gammaproteobacteria; Oceanospirillales; Halomonadaceae.
CCUACGGGUGGCAGCAGUGGGGAAUAUUGGACAAUGGGGGUAACCCUGAUCCAGCCAUGCCGCGUGUGUGAAGAAGGCCCUCGGGUUGUAAAGCACUUUCAGUGAGGAAGAACGCCUGGUGGUUAAUACCCAUCAGGAAAGACAUCACUCACAGAAGAAGCACCGGCUAACUCCGUGCCAGCAGCCGCGGUAAUACGGAGGGUGCGAGCGUUAAUCGGAAUUACUGGGCGUAAAGCGCGCGUAGGUGGCUUGAUAAGCCGGUUGUGAAAGCCCCGGGCUCAACCUGGGAACGGCAUCCGGAACUGUCAAGCUAGAGUGCAGGAGAGGAAGGUAGAAUUCCCGGUGUAGCGGUGAAAUGCGUAGAGAUCGGGAGGAAUACCAGUGGCGAAGGCGGCCUUCUGGACUGACACUGACACUGAGGUGCGAAAGCGUGGGUAGCAAACAGGAUUAGAUACCCGAGUAGUC